UGAGUACGAGAUGCUACGGCGUCGAAGCAGUCUAGGUCAUACUUCCAAGAAAAGCUUGCACUGUCAUAAACAAAGAAUGCCUGUACCAUAACCGACACAGGUGGGUAGGUAGAGUAUACUAAGGGGCGCGAGAUAACUCUCUCUAAGGAACUCGGCAAAAUGACUCCGUAACUUCGGGAGAAGGAGUGCCUUAUUUUUAAGGUUGCAAUAACAAGAUCCAAGCAACUGUUUACCAAAAACACAGGUCUCCGCUAAGUCGUAAGACGAUAUAUGGGGGCUGACGCCUGCCCAGUGCCAGAAGGUUAAAGAAGUUGUUAGCAUUUGCGAAGCUGAUAACUGAAGCCCUGGUGAACGGCGGCCGUAACUAUAACGGUCCUAAGGUAGCGAAAUUCCUUGUCGGGUAAGUUCCGACCCGCACGAAAGGCGUAAUGAUUUGGAUACUGUCUCGGAGAGGGGCUCGGUGAAAUAGACUUGUCUGUGAAGAUGCGGACUACCUGCACCUGGACAGAAAGACCCUAUGAAGCUUUACUGUAACUUGAGAUUGAAAUUGGACUUUAUUUGCGCAGUAUAGGUGGGAGGCGUUGAGAAUAAUCUUGCGGGAUUAUCGGAGCCAUCAGUGAGAUACCACUCUUGUAAUGUUAGAUUUCUAACUUUGUAUCAUUAUCUGGUCAAAGAACAGUUUCAGGCGGGCAGUUUGACUGGGGCGGUCGCCUCCCAAAGGGUAACGGAGGCGCACAAAGGUUUCCUCUGAACGGGUAGAAAUCGUAUCUAGAGUGUAAAGGCAUAAGGAAGCUUGACUGUGAGACCUACAAGUCGAGCAGGGACGAAAGUCGGUCUUAGUGAUCUGACGGUGCUGAGUGGAAAGGCCGUCACUCAACGGAUAAAAGUUACUCUAGGAUAACAGGCUGAUCUCCCCCAAGAGUUCACAUCGACGGGGAGGUUUGGCACCUCGAUGUCGGCUCAUCGCAUCCUGGGGCGGUAGUACGUCCCAAGGGUUGGGCUGUUCGCCCAUGAAAGCGGUACGCGAGCUGGGUUCAGAACGUCGUGAGACAGUUCGGUCCAUAUCCGGUGUAGGCGUUAGAAUAUUGAAAGGAGCCUUCUCUAGUACGAGAGGACCGAGAAGGACAUACCUCUGGUGUGCCAGUUAUCGUGCCAACGGUAAACGCUGGGUAGCUAUGUAUGGAGUGGAUAACCGCUGAAAGCAUCUAAGUGGGAAGCCCACC
This 1223-nucleotide ribosomal RNA is filed under the name metagenome. RNAcentral's name for it is "bacterial LSU rRNA". It matches the Rfam family "Bacterial large subunit ribosomal RNA", at positions 1564 to 2798 of the family's 2925-position model. The record is from RNAcentral.